Molecule: ribosomal RNA, 443 nt
Filed under: uncultured bacterium
Lineage: Bacteria
Description: partial 16S ribosomal RNA
Rfam family: Bacterial small subunit ribosomal RNA
Source: RNAcentral
CCUACGGGAGGCAGCAGUGGGGAAUAUUGGGCAAUGGAGGCAACUCUGACCCAGCAACGCCGCGUGAAUGAUGAAGGUCUUCGGAUUGUAAAGUUCUGUGAUGGGGGAUGAACACAAUGACGGUACUCCAAUAGCAAGCCACGGCUAACUACGUGCCAGCAGCCGCGGUAAUCCGUAGGUGGCAAGCGUUAUCCGGAAUGACUGGGCGUAAAGGGUGCGUAGGUGGUUUAGUAAGUUGGCGGUGUAAUUCCGGGGCUCAACCUCGGCGCUACCGCCAAAACUAUUGAACUUGAGUGCAGGAGAGGUAAGCGGAAUUCCUGGUGUAGCGGUGAAAUGCGUAGAUAUUAGGAGGAACACCAGUGGCGAAGGCGGCUUACUGGACUGUAACUGACGUUGAGGCUCGAAAGCGUGGGGAGCAAACAGGAUUAGAUACCCCUGUAGUC